This 45-nucleotide non-coding RNA is filed under the name Schistosoma mattheei. The record is from RNAcentral. Lineage: Eukaryota; Metazoa; Platyhelminthes; Trematoda; Strigeidida; Schistosomatidae.
AUCCUGCUGACGAGUCGUAAACAGGACGAAACGCACGUCCUGAAU